AUCAAUAAAAAUUUUGUGGACAGAAUGGCCACACUUAAUUAAAUCCUCACAUACAUAAACUUCUUUCAUUAAUCCAGUUCACAUCAGCUUUGGCCAGAAGUGAACCAGAUCAAUAAAAUUUCAUGGUCAAAAUGCCCGCCAAUCAGCUUUGGCCAGAAUGACAGACACAAGCCAUGCUUAAUUCGAGAACUGUGAGGUUAAUUUUGCAGCGAUUUUUUUUUAUGACAUAAUGAUAGCAAUAAUCAUCAUAAUAAUGUCAAGACAUAAAAAUGCCUUGAAACAAUUAAUCACGGCAUAAAAUUAUUUCAGAAACACUUAAGCAUCAAAUAAUAAUGCCAUGAUAAUCAUAAUAAUAAAAUGCCUUAAGGGGAAAAGAAGGCAUUAUUCAUAAUUGGGCAUGGCAUCUAAUUGCAUGAUUAAUAAUAAAACAUUAAGGAAUUACCUUAACAUUAAUAAGCAUAAUGUGCCAUGCAAAAUUUGGCCCUUUAAUACUUAUUUACUUUAGCCCAAUCUUUAUUAUGCAGCCCACUAUUACUUAAUAAAAGAGAGGGAAAACUUAAUUUGGGAAAAACUUCCGGACUGGGCCGAAAUUGGUCCAGCCCAUUUAACACCCGCAUCACUAAAGGCCAUUAGAUGCCGAUCCAAUGGCUGAGGACGACACGAGCGUGGAACAAAACCACCGCCCGGCCGCCUCUCCUCCCCGAAACCCUAGCUCAUAUUGUUCCCCUCCUCUUUCGCUCCUCUCCCGUGGCGGCGACGAGCUAGUGCGAGCGCCUGCCGCAGCGGAAGAAGAUGGCGGCGCCGUCUAGUCCCACUCGACGGAAUCAUGUGCGGCUUUAGCUUGCGCAUGGCUCCGUCGAGCGGCUUUCGGCGGCGCCCUUUGCAAGGUGACGGCGUGCGAGCGGGCGUUCCGCGUCGACGAUAGCCUCCCCUUGCCAGUCCAGCAAAGCGGCGUGUUCCCGACGACAAGCGUCAGAGGAAACGAGACGCCGGCCGGAGCAGCGGACGGCGAAGCCACUCGGGUGCGAACCCGAGCAUGCUCACAAGCAUGAGAUGGUGGCGACGGCGACGUCGCACGACGACGACAGGCACCGGAGCCCUAAGGAUAAGAAGAUUCUGAAGGUAUAUAAACCUGAUGGUUCCAUGGACAGUAAUGCCGAAACUGUUGUUGGGUGGCAUCAGAAGCUGCAGUAGCUGAUGAGGAAGCCCCUUUGAUUCCUUCGUUAUGCCUGUCUCUAACUAUAUUUGGAUGGUGAUUCUCUGUUUCACUAAUGUCUACUAACUAGGAUAAGAAGAUUCUGAAGGUAUACAAACCUGAUAGUUCCAUGGACAGUAAUGAUGAAACUGUUGUUGGGCUGGCAUUAGACGCUGCAGUAGUUGAUGCGGAAGCCCCUUUGAUUCCUUCGCCACACCUGUCUCUAACUAUAAUUGAAGUGUGAUUCUCUGAUUCACUAAUGUCUACUAAUUAGGGUAAGAAGUUUCUGAUGGUUCCAUGGACAGUAAUGAUUGAACUGUUGUGGGCUGGCUUCAGAAGCUGCACUAGUUGACGAGGAAGCCCAUUUGAUUCCUUCAUCACGCCUCUUGUAUGUUACCCGGACACAAACAAGGUGGUGGUUUUGAAUAGCAGAUGACAAUGAUUUUCAAAAGUUUUGAGUUGGUUUAGGUACCAAAUUUCGUCCCAGAUUGACCAUCCUAUCUUAUCCUCCUGAAGAGCUUGAAAGAGAUGCAUAUAUGCUGAUAAACUACGAAAAGGAACUUCUUUAGAAGCUCUGUUGAUUGCUUUUGUACUCACCUUUUCUACACGACUUUUUUGCAUGGAAAGCUUGUUUCAUGAGACACUUUGAGGUGAAAUAGACAAAGUUGCAGUGAUAGAAUGAUUACUUUUUAUCUGUAAUUUGGAUAUUCAGGUAGUCUGUUAGAUAUACGCUAUAUCUUGAUCCAGUAUACGAAAAUGCUCUCAGAUCA
This is a long non-coding RNA of Lolium perenne, 1965 nucleotides long. RefSeq lists it as uncharacterized. The record is from RefSeq and is a predicted model, not a curated record. Lineage: Eukaryota; Viridiplantae; Streptophyta; Magnoliopsida; Poales; Poaceae.